Molecule: RNA transcript, 2090 nt
Organism: Silurus meridionalis
Lineage: Eukaryota; Metazoa; Chordata; Actinopteri; Siluriformes; Siluridae
Gene: aup1
Gene name: AUP1 lipid droplet regulating VLDL assembly factor
Exons: 13
Source: RefSeq, a predicted model, not a curated record
AUUUCAAAGUUUCGACUGUCGUGAUUUAACUAGAGCGGGUUACGCAGGGCUGAUCCUGUGUCAGUGUAAAAGGGGGGCGCUAUAUCGUGAGCUAUACCCCCCCUCAACAAAUAUCAGGACUUCAACAUGGCGACGGGGGAAUUUCAGAUAAAUAAUAUAAGCUAGUGUUUUAAAUUUAAUAAGUUUGUCACUAGUUGAAGACUAGUAUGCAGCAAGGCAGCUGUUCGCUACUGACAGAAGCGAAUAGAAACCUGUAAUAAUGGAAAUGCGGGGGAUAGAGCAGAUGUUUGACUUUCAGCGGUUGCCAAGCGAUGGUCUGAUCCUGCUACUGCUGCUGCUGUACUCCCCGGUUGGCCUUUGCUUAAUGUUACUACGUAUAUUUAUAGGUGUUCAUAUAUUCCUAGUGAGCUGUGCACUUCCGGACAGUUUUGUAAGGCGAUUUAUAGUACGAGUCAUGUGCUCUGUGUUGGGCCUGUAUGUAAAACAGAACAACCUGCGCUUAAGGGACAAAAAUGUCAAGUUGUAUGUCAGCAAUCACAUUACUCAGUUCGACCACAACAUUAUUAACCUCCUUACCUCCUGCCACACUCCAUUGUUGGAGGGCCCUUCAGGGUUUGUGUGCUGGGCACGGGGCUUCAUGGAACUGGGCACUGUGACUGGCAGCAGGGCUGAGCUGGCACAGAGCCUGCGUGGGUAUUGUGCUGUUCCUGAAUCUCUGCCCUUACUGCUAUUCCCAGAAGAAGACACAACCAAUGGGCGUGCUGGCCUGCUCAAGUUCAGCUCCUGGCCUUUCUCUGUGGUAGACGCUGUACAACCAGUAGCGCUAAGGGUGAGGAGGCCCUUCAUAGCUGUGAAUGUACCAGAAUGCUCGUGGCUGAACGAAUUGCUGUGGAUGUUUUUUGUCCCGUUUACAGUGUAUCAAGUAAGGUGGCUGCCAACAGUGCAAAGACAGGAUGAAGAAUCACAUCAAGAAUUUGCCAACAGAGUCCAAGAGCUUCUGGCCACAGAGAUCGGUGUUGUUUCAACACAGAUCACCAAAGCAGACAAAGCUGAACACAUCAAAAGAAAACGGCACACAGUUUCCCAUACCACACACCUGGACUUGGGGGCAAGACCUCGUACCGUGGCACAGGGUUUUUUGGUCUCAAGCACUGAGGCAGAAGAUCCCAGAGUGAUCCGCAUGGCACAUCAGGUUAAAGAAGUGCUACCAGAUGUCCCUUUAAGUGUCAUCACCAAAGAUCUGUUGCAAACAAACUGUGUGGAUACAACAAUUACAAACCUGCUGGAGAACACUGAGCAGUAUCGUACAGAGCCUGCAGAAGCUGCAUCAUCAGGCCCAUCACAACCUUUACCCUCUGCCAUGCCUUCUGUUCCUGAUCCACCUCCUAAUCUAAAGUCAGCUGCCAAAGCUUUUGGAAAAUCACCAACAGACAGACACAUGUCUUUACAGGACAGAAAAGCAGCCUUGUAUGAUUAUGCAAGAAGUUUGUUUGAGCAAGUUUGAACAAUUCAUAACAAGACAAGCAGCAGCAUAUACUAUGCUAAACUCAGCAAUGCAGUUUGGCAGGUUACCAGUGAGCAUUAUACGUUACCUAGAGAAACAUGGCCUGGAUCCAGAGGAAGACUCAUGAGUGUGAGCAAAUUGCUCAAGUUAAUUGAGAGACUGUUAAUUGGAGUUCACACAAUGUUCCUAAAACAAGAAGAAAGCAUUAUACCAACUUUACUUGCAGAAUUUGUGUUCAGCAAAAAUACAAAAAGCACGGGGAUGGAAAUAAGUGGAUUGGAAUAAGUUGACUUCAAUGGAUUUUUAUUGAUCCUCUUGCAUGGCACUCAUGCAUGUCUUUUUAAUGAUUUCUCUGCUACAGGAAAAAAAAAAAAAGAUUAUUUUGGUAAACAGUUUGUACUACACCCCAGUACCAGUGGAACAUCUCAUAUUAUUUUUAUAAAGUUUAGACUGAGAAAGCAGCAGCUUGGCCUUGUGUGGUAACGAACAAAACCCAGUUUGAGGGUAUGUCGUAGGUAUAUGUGUUGAUUCCGUUUCAGACAUUAAAGAUCAUUUAUAAAUGAAAUAAAUGUUUUGUUUCUCUUGA